Molecule: transfer RNA, 67 nt
Filed under: Fukomys damarensis (Damara mole-rat)
Lineage: Eukaryota; Metazoa; Chordata; Mammalia; Rodentia; Bathyergidae
Rfam family: tRNA
About the family: Transfer RNA (tRNA) molecules are approximately 80 nucleotides in length.
Source: Rfam by way of RNAcentral
AUAUGUAGUUCAGUGGUAGAACAGGUGAUUUGCAUGUGCAGAGCUCUGGAUUCAAAUUCCAGCAUAU